UUGAACGCUGGCGGCAGGCCUAACACAUGCAAGUCGAGCGGAUGAAGGGAGCUUUCUCCUGGAUUCAGCGGCGGACGGGUGAGUAAUGCCUAGGAAUCUGCCUGGUAGUGGGGGAUAACGUCCGGAAACGGGCGCUAAUACCGCAUACGUCCUGAGGGAGAAAGUGGGGGAUCUUCGGACCUCACGCUAUCAGAUGAGCCUAGGUCGGAUUAGCUAGUUGGUGGGGUAAAGGCCUACCAAGGCGACGAUCCGUAACUGGUCUGAGAGGAUGAUCAGUCACACUGGAACUGAGACACGGUCCAGACUCCUACGGGAGGCAGCAGUGGGGAAUAUUGGACAAUGGGCGAAAGCCUGAUCCAGCCAUGCCGCGUGUGUGAAGAAGGUCUUCGGAUUGUAAAGCACUUUAAGUUGGGAGGAAGGGCAGUAAGUUAAUACCUUGCUGUUUUGACGUUACCAACAGAAUAAGCACCGGCUAACUUCGUG
RNAcentral lists this ribosomal RNA (483 nucleotides) under uncultured bacterium. RNAcentral describes it as "partial 16S ribosomal RNA". It matches the Rfam family "Bacterial small subunit ribosomal RNA", at positions 30 to 507 of the family's 1533-position model. The record is from RNAcentral.